Molecule: ribosomal RNA, 967 nt
Filed under: Amanita sp. 'insinuans'
Lineage: Eukaryota; Fungi; Basidiomycota; Agaricomycetes; Agaricales; Amanitaceae
Description: partial 28S ribosomal RNA
Rfam family: Eukaryotic large subunit ribosomal RNA
Source: RNAcentral
UCUGACCUCAAAUCAGGUAGGAUUACCCGCUGAACUUAAGCAUAUCAAUAAGCGGAGGAAAAGAAACUAACAAGGAUUCCCUUAGUAACUGCGAGUGAAGUGGGAAAAGCUCAAAUUUGAAAUCUGGCAGUCUGUUUUUUUCUUCCUUGGCUGUCCGAGUUGUAAUCUAGAGAAGUGUUACCUGUAUUGGACCGUGUACAAGUCUCCUGGAAUGGAGCCUCAUAGAGGGUGAGAAUCCCGUCUUUGACAUGGACUGCCAGUGCAUUGUGGUGUGCUCUCAAAGAGUCGAGUUGUUUGGGAAUGCAGCUCUAAAUGGGUGGUAAACUCCAUCUAAAGCUAAAUAUUGGCGAGAGACCGAUAGUGAACAAGUACCGUGAGGGAAAGAUGAAAAGGACUUUGGAAAGAGAGUUAAACAGUAUGUGAAAUUGUUGAAAGGGAAACGCUUGAUGUCAGUUGUGUCAGCUGGGGAUCAACUCAGUUGUUUUUUGCUGAGUGAAUUACCUAGUUUGACUGGCCAACAUCAGUUUUGACUGCUGGAGAAGGGUAGAAGGAAUGUGGCACCUUUGGGUGUGUUAUAGCCUUCUGUCAGAUGCAGCAGUUGGGACUGAGGAAUGCAGCAUGCCAGGAGGCUGGGCUUUGACCACGUUCAUGCUUAGGAUGUUGGCUUUAAAUGGCUUCAAUCGACCCGUCUUGAAACACGGACCAAGGAGUCUAACAUGCCUGCGAGUGUUUGGGUGAAGAAAACCCUUGUGCACAAUGAAAGUAAAGGUUGAGAUCCCUGUCAUGGGGAGCAUUGACGCCCGGACCUGAGCUUUUAGCAAUGGAUCUGCGGUAGAGCAUGUAUGUUGGGACCCGAAAGAUGGUGAACUAUGCCUGAAUAGGGCAAAGCCAGAGGAAACUCUGGUGGAGGCUCGUAGCGAUUCUGACGUGCAAAUCGAUCGUCGAAUUUGGGUAUAGGGGCGAAAGA